RNAcentral lists this ribosomal RNA (467 nucleotides) under uncultured bacterium. RNAcentral describes it as "partial 16S ribosomal RNA". It matches the Rfam family "Bacterial small subunit ribosomal RNA", at positions 28 to 507 of the family's 1533-position model. The record is from RNAcentral.
GAUGAACGCUGGCGGCGUGCUUAACACAUGCAAGUCGAACGGAAAGGCCCAAGCUUGCUUGGGUACUCGAGUGGCGAACGGGUGAGUAACACGUGGGUGAUCUGCCCUGCACUUCGGGAUAAGCCUGGGAAACUGGGUCUAAUACCGGAUAGGACCACAUUUUGGAUGGUGUGGUGGAAAGUUUUUCGGUGUGGGAUGAGCUCGCGGCCUAUCAGCUUGUUGGUGGGGUAAUGGCCUACCAAGGCGUCGACGGGUAGCCGGCCUGAGAGGGUGUACGGCCACAUUGGGACUGAGAUACGGCCCAGACUCCUACGGGGGGCAGCAGUGGGGAAUAUUGCACAAUGGGCGCAAGCCUGAUGCAGCGACGCCGCGUGGGGGAUGACGGCCUUCGGGUUGUAAACUCCUUUCGCUAGGGACGAAGCGUUUUUGUGACGGUACCUGGAGAAGAAGCACCGGCUAACUACGUG